RNAcentral lists this ribosomal RNA (275 nucleotides) under uncultured prokaryote. RNAcentral describes it as "partial 16S ribosomal RNA". It matches the Rfam family "Bacterial small subunit ribosomal RNA", at positions 524 to 798 of the family's 1533-position model. The record is from RNAcentral.
UACGUAGGGGACGAGCGUUAUCCGGAAUUACUGGGCGUAAAGGGUGCGUAGGCGGUCUUCCAAGCCAGAAGUGAAAGGCUACGGCUCAACCGUAGUAAGCUUUUGGAACUGUAAGACUUGAGUGCAGGAGAGGAGAGUGGAAUUCCUAGUGUAGCGGUGAAAUGCGUAGAUAUUAGGAGGAACACCAGUAGCGAAGGCGGCUCUCUGGACUGUAACUGACGCUGAGGCACGAAAAGCGUGGGGAGCAAACAGGAUUAGAUACCCUGGUAGUCCCU